Oryzias latipes (Japanese medaka) is the source of this 2088-nucleotide RNA transcript. RefSeq lists it as uncharacterized. Lineage: Eukaryota; Metazoa; Chordata; Actinopteri; Beloniformes; Adrianichthyidae. The record is from RefSeq and is a predicted model, not a curated record.
UGGGUUGUCCUUUAGUCAGGAGUGACGACAGCGUGCUGUUCGUAUUCGAGGACGAUUGAACAAACGAGGCUAACCCUCGCAACUAGCUAAAAAAUCAACAAAAACAUUUAAAUUUAGUCGCUAUAUCUUGAAAACGUUACCCGCGAUCUUUUUGGUGGCGUUUGUGUCUUUGUUCGUAUAAUUUUUUGGGAAACAGGCAGCCUUCACGCGACCUGCCUUUGGCAGCUCAACACUAUGGCUGAACAAGUAAAUUCUCACUCUGCAAUGGCCGAGGCUCGCCACACCGAUGGCCUCAAUGUGAUCUUUGACCAGAAAAGCCCCGGAUCUUCUUCCCAUUCCCGGUCCCGGUCGAGGAGCAGCAGCAGUUCCAGCAGCCGCAGGAGCCGCUCUUCUGGUUCUGGUCACUACAAGAGACGAGGAAGACGGGACAGAUCUUCAUCUUCAUCUUCCUCCCGUUCAUCCUCGAGGAGCCGGUCCUCGUCUCGGUCCAGGUCUCGGUCUAGGUCUCGGUCUCAUCCCCGCUGCCGCCGACGCUCAUCUCGCUGUCGCUGUGAUGAACACAGAAGAUCUGGCCGGCGCCUCUACCGUCGCUCCCCAUCACGUCGCUACAGAGCCCAUUCCCGCUCCUACAGCCGAUCCCCAACACCAGACAGAUACUACCGCCGUCGCAGAUAUUCAAGAUCCCGCUCCAGGUCUUCAGGUCGCUGGAGUCGCUACAGGAGACCAGUUGGCCAGUUUAGAAGCAGGUUCACUCUAUCUCCAUCCCCGCCAAGAUUUUACAGGCGCAGAUCCAGAUCCAGGAGUCCGGUGCGCUCUGUCAGUUUAAGCCUUGACGAUAAAAGGAAACUGCUUGAAGCUGCUAAGGCUAACGCCAUGAGGAUCCUUGGGGUGGAGAAGAUAGAGCUUCCUGAGAGUGUGAAACCCAUCCUAUCAGAGGAACCAGAGCCCAGACCACUGUCACCAGAACCACUGGUCAGGAGGAGGCAAGGUUCUGAAAGGACUGGACCUCAGAUAACAUGACGGUGAUCUUCACUCACCGGCACCUGGGAUAAAAAGGCGUUCAUGUGACUUGGGUGACAAAAGUAUUUGUUUGCCUAAAGGUUAUCUGAUGAAUUAUGUAACUUUUUAAGUCAUCAGUUCAGUUUAAUAACACAUUACUCUUAUCUGCAGUCUACACCGUUGUUAUUUUAGGUUAUGUGAAAGAAAAAGUACAGAUUAAGAACUUAAAAACAGAUUUUUAAAUUCCGUUCAAAUGGUAGGAGAGAGCCACAGUUAUACAGAUAUGUAGAACUUUGUCUCUUCAAAUGUAUUUAUGCUUGCAGAUGAAAUUGGUAUUUAUUUAACAGAGAUCUCCGUCCGCUGAUGGGGCACAGGUGUGUGGACUUCAUAAUAGUGACUAUACCUGUCAAGAGAACUAUAAAACAGGAACACCUCUCCGUUUGUCACAGAUAAGUUGGUACACAGAUGUGUGCUACAGGGACGGGGAACCCGCAUCCCUUUGUUUGCUUUACUUUUGUGUGAAUUUCUGCCAUCUUUGGUAGAAUUUAUUUUUCCUUUCCUUUGUCUGCAAAUGUCAUUUAAUUGGGAGCAGAUUGUAAGCUCCUGUUAUAACUGAUCUGUGUGGAUACUGCUCCUUUCUGCCCUUAAUUCACCUUUUAUUUUUUCCCUUUUUGAAUCUAGGACAUUGAGGUGGAGCCUGAAGUGUCCAGCCCGAGACCGUCUUCUAAAGGGCAAAUUGCCUUCAGCUUGAAUAAUUCUGUGGCCAAACCAACUGCAGCUGCUCCAUCUCCUGCUAAGCUAACGUCGAGAGUGGACAGCUAUGAAAGCAGGAAGCCCUACGGCAGCUGGAUUCCAAUCGGUUCGGGCCAAAGUGCACGCAAAUGAGCUUAGAGCCACAACAGUGUAGCUGCAUGGACGUGUAAAUGUUGUAAAUAGUUUGUACAUAUAAUGAAGCAUUGUUUCGUGGUCAUUUUUUCUUUCAGAUAUGAACAUUUUAAAUGAGAAGAGGUGAACAAUUCAGGUGGGAAAUUUUCCUCUUGUAUACAUCGUGCGUAUUUAUUUGUCCAAUAAAAUAUUUUCUUGAUAAAG